UUUCCAGUAGCUCUUACCUGUGCCUGAGGCUCCAGCUGGGACACCCUGUACACUUCUGCCCUUGUUCUCUCCUGAAUCUUCUGUGCUUGUUCCUGCUCAGGCUACACUGCACUGCAAAUCUACUUGAAUGAUCUUCAUGCCAGCGCUCACACACCUGAAAGGGGAUUUCCAAAAGAAGUCAACUUCCAAAAGCUCUCAGCAAGACUCGGUGGCCAGACUUGUGGAAGAAAACUGGAAAUUUAGGCCAUUUAUUUCAGACUGUAAAUGUGAUGCAAGCUUCUUGAGGAAAUCUGGCCCUUCUUUUCCAGGUCACCAGAUCCUCGCCGGGAUGAAUUAGCAUAGCUCUCCAAGGUACAAUGGUGCGGCGCUGAUUUACAUCGGCUGAAAGCUGUCCCUUUGUCUGCUGGAGUUGUAGCGGGAGCAAGUUUAAAUCACAGCUUUGCAGUGGAGGCUCCUCCGACCCAGCCUCACCGAAACAAUGGACCGCAGUGGUGUAUUGUGACUGCUGUUUCCUGACAGCAUGUGAUAGUAACCUUGAUUCCUAAAAGGCAUUUCUGUGUUGUUAACGUGGUGGAUUCAUGGGCAGAAGCUUCCAGACCAGGCCCACAGAUGCUCUGCGUUAUUUUGAGCACUUGUAACACUCUUUGUGAUGAACCCCCAACUCUGUGUUUGUUUAUGACGGUGCUGAGUAGUUGCGUGGGUCUGCCUAGGAUGACUGCAGCUCUUGACCAGAGGAUUUUAUGGGGAUGGCAGGAGGAAACCUCCAGCACUACAGGAGAUGUACGCUUCUUGUUUUCCGUCUGCUCUUUGUACUAGUUUCAUGCUGAAGUUGGAAGUGGAAGAUUUAAUAAGUGGCAGAAAUGGAAAGUGGUAGUGAAGAAAAUGGUAUUUUUUUGUGACUACUGUCAUCUUGACUAAAUUACUGUCAUCUUUGGAAUGCUUCCUGAGAUCUUCAGCAACAGAUGAUGAAGUUCAGAUGGGGAGGCUUUUUUUGUGGAAGAGGUACAUCAGUGAACCCAUUUAGUUGCACCCUGAUUUUUGUCUUACAAGAAGGCACAUCAUCAGAGAAGCUUAAAGUAAGUUCAGUAAGGAAGAUGGCUCUUACUCAAGCCAUGCAUGAAUGUGUGAGCUGCACAUUAUGCUGGUUCUUUGUUGACCACAGAGGAGGAGGUGCUGAGGAUUUAGAAAGCUUAGCUAAGAGUCUUAUCCACUGAGCAUCAUGCCAAUGGAAACAAAUUUUAGGUAUGCUUAGGACCAAAUACUGCUCACAGCAAAGGCCAUAGCAGUUCUGCUGCUCAGUUCAGUGCUAAUCUAGGCUUUCAUCAUCUUACUUUCAUAAAACAAGUUCUUAGCUCUGCAAGCACCUCCUCACCUGAGCAGUAUCUCGACAUGAUUCAGUUUAAGUUGAGAGAACUGCAGGACAUAAAAGGUUUUAAUGAUUUUCUAAAAACUGCUCUGACUAUCUAUUUAAUAGUGUUGUUGAAGAACAAAGCUGUUGUUCAUGUUAAAUAUUGCUCCACGUACAACUGACAUCCUGAUCAUUGUUUUCUCUAAUUUGAAAACAUGAGACUGUAGGCAUUUGAAUGCUUUUACUGCACAGAUGACGCUGCAUCGUAUUAUAUUACUGCUCAAGUCUGGAUCCUAAUCCUUCUGUUUUAAUAGAUGGAAUUCAUGAUCCCAUUUCUGUCACUCUAGUAAAAUCCUAAUUUUCUGGGGGGAAAAAACAACAAUAUCCUCCUGAAAUUUAAC
Gallus gallus (chicken) is the source of this 1749-nucleotide long non-coding RNA. Lineage: Eukaryota; Metazoa; Chordata; Aves; Galliformes; Phasianidae. The record is from Ensembl.